Molecule: transfer-messenger RNA, 355 nt
Filed under: human gut metagenome
Rfam family: transfer-messenger RNA
About the family: Bacterial tmRNA, also known as 10Sa RNA or SsrA, is named for its dual tRNA and mRNA-like properties. Its role is to liberate the mRNA from a stalled ribosome. To accomplish this part of the tmRNA is used as a reading frame that ends in a translation stop signal.
Source: RNAcentral
GGGGAUGUAAAGGUUUCGACGGGAGUCUUGAAAACAGGGACAGCCAUUCGCAGAUCCUAUGAGCUGCGCUAAAAACAUGGGAAACUUUUAAAAAAUAAACGACAAAGAUUAUACUUUAUUAGCAGCCUAAGUGCUGCUCGUCGGCCUUGAAUUGCUCACAGUUUGAGUAACCGGCGUCGAAAUUGUGAGGCCCUUUUCGUUUUAAGCUUUGCGGACGGAAAAGAUUUAUGAAGCUACUGAGGUUUGCAGCCUGCUUGUGGGCGGCAAAACGAGGGAAUGUUAAAACAUAAGCUGUGAUGGAAGAAAUCUCUGCCGACGGGUUUUCGGACAGGGGUUCGACUCCCCUCAUCUCCAU